Molecule: ribosomal RNA, 765 nt
Filed under: uncultured Streptococcus sp.
Lineage: Bacteria; Bacillati; Bacillota; Bacilli; Lactobacillales; Streptococcaceae
Description: bacterial SSU rRNA
Rfam family: Bacterial small subunit ribosomal RNA
Source: RNAcentral
GAUGAACGCUGGCGGCGUGCCUAAUACAUGCAAGUAGAACGCUGAAGGAAGGAGCUUGCUCUUUCCGGAUGAGUUGCGAACGGGUGAGUAACGCGUAGGUAACCUGCCUGGUAGCGGGGGAUAACUAUUGGAAACGAUAGCUAAUACCGCAUAACAGUAGAUAUUGCAUGAUAUCUGCUUGAAAGGUGCAAUUGCAUCACUACCAGAUGGACCUGCGUUGUAUUAGCUAGUUGGUGAGGUAACGGCUCACCAAGGCGACGAUACAUAGCCGACCUGAGAGGGUGAUCGGCCACACUGGGACUGAGACACGGCCCAGACUCCUACGGGAGGCAGCAGUAGGGAAUCUUCGGCAAUGGACGGAAGUCUGACCGAGCAACGCCGCGUGAGUGAAGAAGGUUUUCGGAUCGUAAAGCUCUGUUGUAAGAGAAGAACGAGUGUGAGAGUGGAAAGUUCACACUGUGACGGUAUCUUACCAGAAAGGGACGGCUAACUACGUGCCAGCAGCCGCGGUAAUACGUAGGUCCCGAGCGUUAUCCGGAUUUAUUGGGCGUAAAGCGAGCGCAGGCGGUUAGAUAAGUCUGAAGUUAAAGGCUGUGGCUUAACCAUAGUACGCUUUGGAAACUGCUUAACUUGAGUGCAAGAGGGGAGAGUGGAAUUCCAUGUGUAGCGGUGAAAUGCGUAGAUAUAUGGAGGAACACCGGUGGCGAAAGCGGCUCUCUGGCUUGUAACUGACGCUGAGGCUCGAAAGCGUGGGGAGCAAACAGG